Molecule: ribosomal RNA, 486 nt
Filed under: uncultured bacterium
Lineage: Bacteria
Description: partial 16S ribosomal RNA
Rfam family: Bacterial small subunit ribosomal RNA
Source: RNAcentral
AUUGAACGCUGGCGGCAUGCCUUACACAUGCAAGUCGAACGGCAGCACGGGUGCUUGCCCCUGGUGGCGAGUGGCGAACGGGUGAGUAAUACAUCGGAACAUGUUCUGUAGUGGGGGAUAGCCCGGCGAAAGCCGGAUUAAUACCGCAUACGAUCUACGGAUGAAAGCGGGGGACCUUCGGGCCUCGCGCUAUAGGGUUGGCCGAUGGCUGAUUAGCUAGUUGGUGGGGUAAAGGCCUACCAAGGCGACGAUCAGCAGCUGGUCUGAGAGGACGACCAGCCACACUGGGACUGAGACACGGCCCAGACUCCUACGGGAGGCAGCAGUGGGGAAUUUUGGACAAUGGGCGAAAGCCUGAUCCAGCAAUGCCGCGUGUGUGAAGAAGGCCUUCGGGUUGUAAAGCACUUUUGUCCGGAAAGAAAUCCUUGGCCCUAAUACGGUCGGGGGAUGACGGUACCGGAAGAAUAAGCACCGGCUAACUACGUG